RNAcentral lists this long non-coding RNA (994 nucleotides) under Homo sapiens (human). RNAcentral describes it as "non-protein coding lnc-FAM153C-5:3". Lineage: Eukaryota; Metazoa; Chordata; Mammalia; Primates; Hominidae. The record is from RNAcentral.
UCUCGCUACGUUGUCCAGGCUGGUCUCAGACUCCUGGCCUCAGUGGUCCUCCCACCUUGGCCUCCCAAAGUGCUGGGACUACAGGUGUGAGCCGUGGCACCUGGCCUGUUUUUCUUUAUUACUACAGAUAUUAUCUGAAGCUUUAAAGCCUCCUGGAGUGAAAGCUAGUUCAUAACCACGCUGUUUGGAGCGAAGAAAACUACCUGGAAUUCUUGUUCUCCAAAGAUAUGGAAUUAUCCCAGCAACAGCCGUCCUUCACUGCUCUGUCCUGAGGACCCUCAGGUGUGGCCCAUCCAGCCCCUCAGUGUUUACCUCUGUCCUAAGGACUCUCAGGUGUGGGCGAUCCAGCCCCUUAGUGUUUCCCUCUGUUUUGGAGAUCCUCAGUCUUCCCACACAGGUUGAGAGAGGAGGGGAUCCAAUUGCCUGUGAGGAGGACACGGCUCCUGGGUGGACCCUGCAGAUUGUGAAGUUCAAGUCACAGCUCCUGGGAAGGUCUCUGUGUGUAAAGAUCGUGGGGGUGAGACAGAUUCAGGGACCACACUCUGCUCUGCUCUGUACCUCUGAGUGUCGAUCCAGCUGCCUUGUGACCAGGACACUUAGAAGAAGCAUGGACCCUGCAAGAGGAUGGGCUCAAGGACAGCUUGCCUGACUGCAGCCAUAAGGAUGAAGCCUCUUCAGGUAGAGAAGGACUCCAGGUGGGGCCUGUGCAGAGGGUUCUUACGGGCGCAGUAGGAUUGGGGCUAUAAAAUCAGUAAAUGGAAAAGGAGCCAGGUGCAGAAGUCUGAUUUAUUCCUUUUUUUUUUCUUUUUCUUUUUGGAGACAGGGUCUUACUCUGUCACCCAGGCUAGAGUGCAGUCAGUGUGCCACUGUGGCUCAACCUCCGUCUCCUGGGCUCAAUCAAUCGUUCCACCUCAGCCUCCAGAAAGUAGCUGAGAAUACAGGUGCAUGCCACCAUGCUUGGCUAAGUUUUGUACUUUUUGUAGAGACAGGGUUU